CUCAAAAGCUGCACCUGCUAGUCUUUACUAGUUUUUUUUUUUUUCUAAAUAUCACUGAUUCAUGAAUAUAAAGAUGUAUGCAAAAAUAAAUAAACUGCAACUUCACAGGAGCCAAAAUGAGGAAAAAAAAUAAACUUGCACAAAUCCAAGUGUGAAAGAAUCUCUGCUGACAUUCCACAGAAAGGUAAGAUUAAAAUUACACGUGCC
This is a non-coding RNA of Pelobates cultripes (western spadefoot toad), 207 nucleotides long. The record is from the annotation of a GenBank genome assembly. Lineage: Eukaryota; Metazoa; Chordata; Amphibia; Anura; Pelobatidae.